GCCCGAGUGGCGGAACGGCAGACGCAGCGGUCUCAAAAACCGCGGGGGAAACUCAUGCGAGUUCGAAUCUCGCCUCGGGCACCA
Molecule: transfer RNA, 84 nt
Filed under: Berryella wangjianweii
Lineage: Bacteria; Bacillati; Actinomycetota; Coriobacteriia; Eggerthellales; Eggerthellaceae
Also listed under: 1 other name
Description: Eggerthellaceae bacterium zg-1050 tRNA-Leu
Rfam family: tRNA
About the family: Transfer RNA (tRNA) molecules are approximately 80 nucleotides in length. Their secondary structure includes four short double-helical elements and three loops (D, anti-codon, and T loops).
Source: RNAcentral